UAGACUGCUAAAUUUUCAAUGAUUUCAUAUCCAUCCAAAACUUUAAGAUGUUAUUCAGUUUAACAUAUUUGUUAUAGACAAUUUCGAUUAAAAUUUUGCACAGACAAACCUUGUUAACCACCAAAAUGACUUAAAAUUAGCUUUGAUUUAUGAUUGCCUAUCUGUGGACAAAAACAAUUUGAUCAAAUUUUCUACAAAUUUACAGAAAUACACUGUAAUAUGCUAAAUGUAAACAAAGAAGCUGUGAUCCUUUAAGAAUUAAAAACUAAAUGAUAAUAUUUGUUAUUUAAAAGAACCUUCUUUCUUAAAAAUCUA
This 315-nucleotide long non-coding RNA is filed under the name Mytilus galloprovincialis (Mediterranean mussel). The record is from RNAcentral. Lineage: Eukaryota; Metazoa; Mollusca; Bivalvia; Mytilida; Mytilidae.